RNAcentral lists this ribosomal RNA (1368 nucleotides) under metagenome. RNAcentral's name for it is "SSU rRNA". It matches the Rfam family "Eukaryotic small subunit ribosomal RNA", at positions 1 to 1337 of the family's 1831-position model. The record is from RNAcentral.
UCUGGUUGAUCCUGCCAGUAGUGAUAUGCUUGUUUCAAAGAUUAAGCCAUGCAUGUCUAAGUAUAAGCGAACUUAUACAGUGAAACUGCGGAUGGCUCAUUAAAACAGUUUGAAUUUAUUUGAUGAAUGUAUGAGAAUACUACUUGGAUAACCGUAGUAAUUCUAGAGCUAAUACAUGCAACGACGCCCGACCGUUUCACUACGGAAGGGCUGUAUUUAUUGGAUACCAAAACCAUCCUUCCCUCGGGAAGUUUUGUUUGAUGAUUCACAAUAACUGAUCGGAUCGCCACUGUGGUGGCGACAGGUCAUUCAACAUUCUGCCCUAUCAGCUUUCGAUGGUUGUGUAGUGGACAACCAUGGCCAUAACGGGUAACGGAGAAUCAGGGUUCGAUUCCGGAGAAGGAGCUUGAGAAUUGGCUACUACAUCUAAGGAAGGCAGCAGGCGCGCAAAUUACCCAAUCCCGAUUCGGGGAGGUAGUGACAAAAAAUAACAAUACCGGGCCUUUUUGGGCUUGGUAAUUGGAAUGAGGGAGAGUUAAACGGACCAUCGAGUAUCCAUUGGAGGGCAAGUCUGGUGCAGCAGCUGCGGUAAUACCAGCUCCAAUAGCGUAUAUUAAAGUUGUUGCAGUUAAAAAGCUCGUAGUUGGACUUGUGUGCGCUGUCCGCGGGUGGCCUGCGCCCAAAAGGGCGUUUCGGUUCGGCCCCGGUGGCGCCUUGAAAUCUGCAGCUGGGGGGACGUUGGCCUUAACUGGUCGGCGACCGCACGCCGGCUGCUCGGUUACUGUGAGAAAAUUAGAGUGUUCAAGGCAGGCAUUGGGUGCAAUUGAAUACAUUAGCAUGGAAUAAUAAAAUAUGGCUCCUGCCGUAUUUUGUUGGUUUUGACUGGUGGGAGUAAUGAUUGAUAGGGACGGUUGGGGGUGCUAGUAUUGAGCGGCCAGAGGUGAAAUUCAUGGAUUCGCUCAAGACUAACUUAUGCGAAAGCAUUCACCAAGGACGUCCUCUUUAAUCAAGAACGAAAGUUGGGGGAUCGAAGACGAUCAGAUACCGUCGUAGUCUCAACCAUAAACUAUGUCGACUUGGGAUCGGCGGUAGUUUUUUCAUUAAGACACUGUCGGGACCACGGGAGAAAUCAAAGUGUCUGGACUCUGGGGGAAGUAUGGUCGCAAGGCUGAAACUUGAAGGAAUUGACGGAAGGGCACCACCAGGAGUGGAGCCUGCGGCUUAAUUUGACCCAACACGGGGAAACUUACCAGGUCCAGAGAUGUAGAGGAUUGACAGAUUGAAGCUCUUUCUUGAUCACUUCGGUGGUGGUGCAUGGCCGUUCUUAGUUGGUGGAGUGAUUUGUCUGGUUAAUUCCGUUAACGAACG